Long non-coding RNA from Lates calcarifer (barramundi perch), 1174 nucleotides. RefSeq lists it as uncharacterized. The record is from RefSeq and is a predicted model, not a curated record. The transcript has 3 exons. NCBI's taxonomy places the organism in Eukaryota, Metazoa, Chordata, Actinopteri, Centropomidae.
AUGUGUGUAAAUGUAUUGAUAUGCACACAUUGUAUUAUGGACUCAUAACCUCAGCCAAAGAUCAGUUUUUUCAGGUUUAGGCAGAGUGCAUUCAGUUUUACCCAAAGGACAUUCAGUUUGCCAGUUGUAUCAUAAAAAACGUUAGAAUACUAGUAUGUGGUCAAAAAUAUGACAAAAAUGUCAUAGUAUAUUAUGUCGUCCAAAAAGUGACAAAAAUGUCAUACUGUAGUAUGUGGUCAAAAAUAUGACAAAAAUGUCAUAGUAUAGUAUGUUGUCAAAAAAGUGAUGAAAAUGUCAUAGUAUAGUACGUGGUCAAAAAAGUGACAAAAAUGUCAUACUAUAAUAUGUCAUCCAAAAAGUGAUGAAAAUGUCAUAGUAUAGUAUGUCGUCAAAAAUAUGACAAAAAUGUUAUAGUAUAGUAUGUCGUCCAAAAAGUGAUGAAAAUGUCAUAGUAUAGUAUGUGGUCAAAAAAGUGACAAAAAUGUCAUAGUAUAGUAUGUGGUCAAAAAUAUGACAAAAAUGUCAUACUGUAAUAUGUGGUCAAAAAUAUGACAAAAAUGUCAUAGUAUAGUAUGUGGUCAAAAAUAUGACAAAAAUGUCAUAGUAUAGUAUGUGGUCAAAAAAGUGAUGAAAAUGUCAUAGUAUAGUAUGUGGUCAAAAAUAUGACAAAAAUGUCAUAGUAUAGUAUGUGGUCAAAAAUAUGACAAAAUGUCAUAGUAUAGUAUGUGGUCAAAAAUAUGACAAAAAUGUCAUAGUAUAGUAUGUGGUCAAAAAAGUGAUGAAAAUGUCAUAGUAUAGUAUGUGGUCCAAAAAAUGAUGAAAAUGUCAUAGUAUAGUAUGUGGUCAAAAAUAUGACGAAAAAUGUCAUAGUAUAGUAUGUGGUCAAAAAUAUGACAAAAAUGUCAUAGUAUAGUAUGUGGUCAAAAAAGUGAUGAAAAUGUCAUAGUAUAGUAUGUGGUCAAAAAUAUGACAAAAAUGUCAUAGUAUAGUAUGUGGUCAAAAAAGUGAUGAAAAUGUCAUAGUAUAGUAUGUGGUCAAAAAAGUGAUGAAAAUGUCAUAGUAUAGUAUCUCAGACCAACGCUGCUAAAAAAACAUAGCAUAAUAUGUCUUAAACAAUGUUAUAGAGUCCUUGGCUGUAAUGAAUUUUCCUUUCCUCCUCCUCUGUGUUUUUGUU